This is a long non-coding RNA of Zalophus californianus (California sea lion), 1551 nucleotides long. RefSeq lists it as uncharacterized. The transcript has 3 exons. The record is from RefSeq and is a predicted model, not a curated record. Lineage: Eukaryota; Metazoa; Chordata; Mammalia; Carnivora; Otariidae.
AUGAGAAGCUCUUGUCAAGGGUGGGAUGUCACCAAGCAAGGUCAGGUGACUGGCUGACUUCCAAGAAGCGGCAUUCAUCCUCAAGAAUCUGCCACAGUCUGGAGUCUUUCUCAGCUUUCCAGGUGCAUCAUUUUCAUCUUGCUACCACUCUAAAGUUGAUUCUUCUUGGACAAGCUGAUUCACACUGAACAAAAUUGCUGCAUGGCCAAUUAGUUGUGCAGUGAACAUGCUUGCAGCAGCUGUUUACAACAAGGAUACUUACAGCCGAAAUACCUGACAAAGUUUCAACUUCAAGCCCAGAUGUGAUGGUAUUUGGAAGUAGAGGUUUGGGGAGGAAGGAAGAGAGAGAUGGGGGAAGAGGGAGAGAGAGAAUCCCAAGCAGGCUCCACACCCAGCGUGGAGCCUGACGUGGGGCUUGAUCUCACCACCGUAAGAUCAUGACCUGAGCCGUAAUCAGGAGUUGGAUGCUUAACCAACUGAAUCCCCCGGGUGCCCCAGAUGCCUGAUAAUUCUUAAUUGUGCAAGCAUGAUUAAGGGUGUUCAAAUAAAAAGCUGUGAUGUAGGUAAUGGGGCAGCUGUUUGUCUUAGAGCCUCUAUUGUCUAUCUUUAAAUGUUUCUUCUUAGGCUGUUCAGAAUGUGCUUCUAGUCUCCUAUGUGGAGGGUAAAUGCCUGUCUGCCAUUAUUCUGGGAGUGAGACUGGGAGGGGAGGCUGGGGAUGUCAGCUUUGAAUAUGCGUACUCAAUCCCCCUGGUUCUGGGCACAGUUCCCCUGCCCUUGACUUGGUUUCCCAGUACAGAGAUUCCUUGGUUUCUCUGAAAGUUGCUCAACUGUAUAAGGAAGGCCAAUGACUUGAGAGACCUAACUACUACUUCUUACAACCAAUCCUUUUUAUCUUCUCCCGGUCACCCACCUCUCCCAGGGACUGCUGCUUAGAGUGAAGCCUUUUCAGGCCUGCAAGUCAGUUUCCACUUGACCACCUAUGUACAUCCUUCAAAAGUGUUGCUGUCAUUGCCAUCUUCAACUUGUGGUCUUAUGUCUUAAAAUAAGCCUCUUUGGUGUAGUUUCAGUGGUAUUUUGGAAGAAGCAAUAUUAGAUGAUGUUUUCAAUCUCCAUCUUUAUCUGAAAGUCACUGCAAUUGACUUCUUGACUAUAUAGAGUUUGAAGUAUUUAGCUUUUAUACAAACACAGUGACUUAUGGGGGUUUUGAUGUUUCUGAUACUUUAUAAAAAUGUAUGAUCAUACCAACUGGUCUUUUUUUUAAGAUUUUAUUUAUUUAUUUGAGAGAGCAUAAGCACAAGCCCAAGGUGGGGGAGCUAUGGGCAGAGGGAGAAGCAGACUCCCCACUGAGCAGGGAGCCUGAUGUGGGAUGUGGGACUCGAUUCCAGGAUCCUGGGAUCAUGACCUGAGCCAAAGGCAGAUGCUGAACCACCUGAGCCUCCCAGGCACCCCAUACCAACCAGUCUUAACACGGCUAUUGUGUUAGCCUAACGCUAUGCAAACUUCAGUAAUGUUCCAACUCUAUUCAGGGAAAAAUAAAACCUAUGGGCUUCA